GAUGAACGCUGGCGGCGCGCCUAACACAUGCAAGUCGAACGGUUAAAGCAUCUUCGGAUGUGCAUAAAGUGGCGAACGGCUGAGUAACACGUGGGCAACCUGCCCCUCGCAUCGGGACAGCCUCGGGAAACCGUGGUUAAUACCGGAUACUCCGCCACCCCCGCAUGGGGGAGGCGGGAAAGCCCAGACGGCGAGGGAUGGGCCCGCGGCCUGUUAGCUUGUUGGUGGGGCAGUGGCCCACCAAGGCGAUGAUGGGUAGCCGGGUUGAGAGACCGACCGGCCAGAUUGGGACUGAGACACGGCCCAGACUCCUACGGGAGGCAGCAGUGGGGAAUCUUGCACAAUGGGCGAAAGCCUGAUGCAGCGACGCCGCGUGCGGGACGAAAGGCCUUUCGGGUUCGUAAAAC
This 407-nucleotide ribosomal RNA is filed under the name Olsenella profusa. RNAcentral describes it as "bacterial SSU rRNA". It matches the Rfam family "Bacterial small subunit ribosomal RNA", at positions 28 to 431 of the family's 1533-position model. Lineage: Bacteria; Bacillati; Actinomycetota; Coriobacteriia; Coriobacteriales; Atopobiaceae. The record is from RNAcentral.